UACGUAGGGGGCAAGCGUUGUCCGGAUUUAUUGGGCGUAAAGAGCGUGUAGGCGGUUUGGUAGGUCCGCUGUGAAAACUCGAGCUCAACCUCGAGACGCCGGUGGAAACCAUCAGACUAGAGUCCGGAAGAGGAGAGUGGAAUUCCUGGUGUAGCGGUGGAAUGCGCAGAUAUCAGGAGGAACACCAAUGGCGAAGGCAGAUCUCUGGGCCGUAACUGACGCUGAGGAGCGAAAGCAUGGGGAGCAAACGGG
RNAcentral lists this ribosomal RNA (252 nucleotides) under uncultured bacterium. RNAcentral's name for it is "partial 16S ribosomal RNA". It matches the Rfam family "Bacterial small subunit ribosomal RNA", at positions 524 to 776 of the family's 1533-position model. The record is from RNAcentral.